CCUACGGUGGAAGCAGUGCGGAAUAUUGGUCAAUGGGCUUACGCCUGAACCAGCCAAGUCGCGUGAGGGAAGACUGCCCUAUGGGUUGUAAACCUCUUUUGUCAGGGGGCAACGCCGGCUACGUGUAGCCGGACUGAGAGUAGCUGAAGAAAAAGCAUCGGCAAACUCCGUGCCGGCAGCCGUGGUAAUACGGGGGAUGCGAGCGUUAUCCGGAUUUAUUGGGUUAAAAGGGUGCGUAGGCGGAAUGCCAAGUCAGCGGUAAAAUCGCGGGGCUCAACCUCGCCCCGCCGUUGAAACUGGCGUUCUUGAGUGGGCGAGAAGUAUGCGGAAUGCGUGGUGUAGCAGUGAAAUGCAUAGAUAUCGCGCAGAACUCCGAUUGCGAAGGCGGCAUACCGGCGCCCAACUGACGCUGAAGCACGAAGGCGUGGGUAGCGAACAGGAUUAGAUACCCGAGUAGUC
This 459-nucleotide ribosomal RNA is filed under the name uncultured bacterium. Its description in RNAcentral is "partial 16S ribosomal RNA". It matches the Rfam family "Bacterial small subunit ribosomal RNA", at positions 338 to 795 of the family's 1533-position model. The record is from RNAcentral.